Molecule: ribosomal RNA, 497 nt
Filed under: uncultured bacterium
Lineage: Bacteria
Description: partial 16S ribosomal RNA
Rfam family: Bacterial small subunit ribosomal RNA
Source: RNAcentral
GAUGAACGCUGGCGGCGUGCCUAAUACAUGCAAGUCGAGCGAACAGAUGAGGAGCUUGCUCCUCUGACGUUAGCGGCGGACGGGUGAGUAACACGUGGAUAACCUACCUAUAAGACUGGGAUAACUUCGGGAAACCGGAGCUAAUACCGGAUAAUAUAUUGAACCGCAUGGUUCAAUAGUGAAAGACGGUUUUGCUGUCACUUAUAGAUGGAUCCGCGCCGCAUUAGCUAGUUGGUAAGGUAACGGCUUACCAAGGCAACGAUGCGUAGCCGACCUGAGAGGGUGGUCGGCCACACUGGAACUGAGACACGGUCCAGACUCCUACGGGAGGCAGCAGUAGGGAAUCUUCCGCAAAGGGCGAAAGCCUGACGGAGCAACGCCGCGUGAGUGAUGAAGGUCUUCGGAUCGUAAAACUCUGUUAUUAGGGAAGAACAAAUGUGUAAGUAACUAUGCACGUCUUGACGGUACCUAAUCAGAAAGCCACGGCUAACUACGUG